GGAUGCUUAGUACAACGGCAGUACGCUCGGCUGUAGACCGACAAAUAUUGGUUCGAAUCCAGUAGCAUCCA
This 71-nucleotide transfer RNA is filed under the name Gammaproteobacteria bacterium. RNAcentral's name for it is "tRNA-Tyr". It matches the Rfam family "tRNA". Rfam says of the family: Transfer RNA (tRNA) molecules are approximately 80 nucleotides in length. Their secondary structure includes four short double-helical elements and three loops (D, anti-codon, and T loops). Further hydrogen bonds mediate the characteristic L-shaped molecular structure. tRNAs have two regions of fundamental functional importance: the anti-codon, which is responsible for specific mRNA codon recognition, and the 3' end, to which the tRNAs corresponding amino acid is attached (by aminoacyl-tRNA synthetases). tRNAs cope with the degeneracy of the genetic code in two manners: having more than one tRNA (with a specific anti-codon) for a particular amino acid; and 'wobble' base-pairing, i.e. permitting non-standard base-pairing at the 3rd anti-codon position. Lineage: Bacteria; Pseudomonadati; Pseudomonadota; Gammaproteobacteria. The record is from RNAcentral.